This is a long non-coding RNA of Cyprinodon tularosa, 332 nucleotides long. RefSeq lists it as uncharacterized. Lineage: Eukaryota; Metazoa; Chordata; Actinopteri; Cyprinodontiformes; Cyprinodontidae. The record is from RefSeq and is a predicted model, not a curated record. The transcript has 3 exons.
CCACAGGCUCGUGUCGGCCUCAUCUCGUCACAACACUUUGGGGGGGGGGCUGAUGGGACCAUUGGUCUGUCUUUUUGUCUCAGUGGUCCUGUUUAGAAAGCCGCCGCUGCUCUGACCUCUCAGUAGAAGACAAAACAAACCAGGAAACCCCGGAGGGGGGUUAGUUCAUCAAGGACUUGGGAGCGAGACCCCGGCCAAAGCAAGUUGUCCAAGGUUUCUACAGAAGCGAGCACUGAGCUUCCAGAAGGAGUUUUCCUGCGAGGACAAAGACGAUCCAACCAGAAGCAACAAGGAUAUAGAUGUUAGUCUCCCAAAAGGUUAGUAGAUCAGAA